Non-coding RNA from Arvicanthis niloticus (Nile rat), 156 nucleotides. The record is from RefSeq and is a predicted model, not a curated record. Lineage: Eukaryota; Metazoa; Chordata; Mammalia; Rodentia; Muridae.
UUUCAGCUCAGUUCUGGAAGAGUCCUUGGGAUGGGAAGUCUUUCUCCAGUAAAUAAAUACACAUAGAGACAGAAAGAAAAACUUUGGAACUUUCCAAGACAUUUCCAGCCCAGGAGAUCCGGUCUCGGAAUGUGCCUGCGGUAGUCGGGUACUGGA